UAACCCACAUGUUAGUUGAGGAACAACUUCAGGCUGGUCAUUCAGAGCCUAUGCUCAGCCCUUGGAAUACACCCGUCUUUGUAAUUAAGAAAAAAUCUGGUAGUUGGAGAUUAUUACAAGACCUUAGAGCUAUUAAUCGUGUUAUAGAGCCCAUAGAGGAGUGUUACAAUCUGGGCAUUCUUCUCCUACAGCUAUUCCUUUAGAUUAUUAUUUGAUAGUAGUAGAUUUAAAAGAUUCUUUUUUUUCUAUACCUUUUCACCCAGAUGACUGUAAAAAGUUUGCCUUUAG
RNAcentral lists this small RNA (288 nucleotides) under Marmota monax (woodchuck). The record is from RNAcentral. Lineage: Eukaryota; Metazoa; Chordata; Mammalia; Rodentia; Sciuridae.